GGGUUGUGGUGGGUGUGGGUGUGUGGUUUGAAAGUGAAUUUGUUGAAUGUUAGAUUAGGUUAAAAAAGCAUUGGCCAAGGUAUUGCGCGCGGAGAAGCAGUUUUGUUGGCUAAAGUCAAAAGUUUAGAAAGGUUGUGAUUGAAGGAGAUUCGCAAGUUGUCAUCAAAUGGCUAUCCACUUGUCCAGGGCAUUAUCUCGAAUAUCAUAUUGCUUUUUGUGGCCUUCGAUUCCAUAUCCUUCAACUUUGAUAAUAGGAAUUGUAAUCGGAUAGCUUAUUCUCUUGCCCCUAUUGCUCUUAUGGACUUGUCAUUCUUAUGCAACGCCUUGGGAGCAUGUGUUGUUUGCUUCAAUGCUUUCGACUUAACUUCUAAGUCGUUGCUAUUGUUUGGUUAUGAUUAAUUAA
RNAcentral lists this unclassified non-coding RNA (403 nucleotides) under Hevea brasiliensis (rubber tree). Lineage: Eukaryota; Viridiplantae; Streptophyta; Magnoliopsida; Malpighiales; Euphorbiaceae. The record is from RNAcentral.